Molecule: unclassified non-coding RNA, 990 nt
Filed under: Hevea brasiliensis (rubber tree)
Lineage: Eukaryota; Viridiplantae; Streptophyta; Magnoliopsida; Malpighiales; Euphorbiaceae
Source: RNAcentral
GCCGACAACAAAGGGGAGUCGGUAAGAACUAGGGAGAAAAAUUUGAAGGAUGUUCUAUCAUUAUUUAUUUAUUUAUUUAUACAUCACUAUAAAAUUUUUGAAACUGCUUAUGUCUUAUUCUGAGAAUCAGCUUGUGGUAGUUACAAGAAUGCCAUAGUUUCUUUGUCAUGAUAGAAAAUGAUUAGAGGAUCAUGCUCAAUGUUAAUCUGUGAAUAUUAUGAUUAUAGAUUUGAUUGAUGAAUUGUGGAGAAAACUGGCAGUGAUGAGGCAGGAAUCCUCAACUACAUUGACUGAAAAAGGGGGAUUAUCACUAAGUAUUUUGAUACAAGUUGCAUAUUGAUGCUUGGCCCUUACUGCAGGGAUUAAGUUUCUCUACCACACUGGAUUAAUAUGGAGUUACUUUUUCAAGCUUAUGUUGUUGAUGAAUAUCAACCCUUUGUUUUCAAUAUAUUAGACGCACAACAUAUUUCUUUAACCCAAUUUUAUUGAUCGAGUAAGAUUCUCACAAAUAAUAGUCAUCAGCAGCUCGUGAAGUUUACUAUAUGAGCUGCAUUUGGCAGAGUUUUCCAACAUUUUAUAGAUUAAAAUCAUUAUUGGUUUGGAUCUCAUCAUUAUCAUUAUCAUAAUGUGAUUGAUUCAUGAACUAGUCCUGUGAUCAAUUACGCAAAAUUUGAUGCAAUUUUGUAAGUAUAGGUUUCCUUAAUUGUUUUUCAUUGUCUUAUCCGGUAGUCUUUAUUUUUAUCCUUCAUGGGCUUACUAAUAGUAUCAUUGAUUUUCAUUUAUAUUGGCCUGAAAAAAUAUUUUCUAUGCUACAGCAUUGCUUUGUUUGGCCUCACUAGAGUCUAUUUUAGGGUAAGGGGCAAGAAGAAGGAUGGAAUAAAAUUUUAGCAAUACUGGAGCAAUUGAAAAUAUAUUUAAUCUAUACCUAGGUUAAAGGGAUAUUGAUUUCUGAUCUUUAAUUGAUUAGGUAUGAAGUUGAUACCAAUGCAU